This 30-nucleotide non-coding RNA is filed under the name Mus musculus (house mouse). The record is from RNAcentral. Lineage: Eukaryota; Metazoa; Chordata; Mammalia; Rodentia; Muridae.
GGCCAAAGAAUGCUCACUGUAUGAUUCUUA